AGAGUUUGAUCAUGGCUCAGAACGAACGCUAGCGGCGCGCCUAAUACAUGCAAGUCGUGCGAGAAAGGGCUUCGGCCCCGGUAAAGCGGCGCACGGGUGAGUAACACGUAGGUAAUCUGCCCUCGAGUGGUGGAUAACCCUCCGAAAGGAGGGCUAAUACAGCAUGAGACCACGGCCUCGUCGAGGCUGCGGUCAAAGCAGGCCUCUACAUGUAAGCUUGCGCUCGAGGAUGAGCCUGCGGCCCAUCAGCUAGUUGGUAGGGUAACGGCCUACCAAGGCGAAGACGGGUAGCUGGUCUGAGAGGAUGAACAGCCACACUGGAACUGAGACACGGUCCAGACUCCUACGGGAGGCAGCAGUAGGGAAUCUUGCGCAAUGGGCGAAAGCCUGACGCAGCGACGCCGCGUGAGCGAUGAAGGCCUUCGGGUUGUAAAGCUCUGUGGGGAGGGACGAAUAAGGGCUGGCUAAUAUCCGGCCCGAUGACGGUACCUCCUUAGCAAGCACCGGCUAACUCUGUGCCAGCAGCCGCGGUAAGACAGAGGGUGCGAACGUUGUUCGGAAUUACUGGGCGUAAAGCGCGUGUAGGCGGCCAUGCAAGUCGGGCGUGAAAGCCCACGGCUCAACCGUGGAAGUGCACUCGAAACUGCGUGGCUAGAGUCCUGGAGAGGAAGGUGGAAUGCUUGGUGUAGAGGUGAAAUUCGUAGAUAUCAAGCGGAACACCGGUGGCGAAGGCGGCCUUCUGGACAGUGACUGACGCUGAGACGCGAAAGCGUGGGGAGCAAACAGGAUUAGAUACCCUGGUAGUCCACGCCGUAAACGAUGAGUGCUAGGUGUCACGGGCUUUGACCCUCGUGGUGCCGAAGCUAACGCGUUAAGCACUCCGCCUGGGGAGUACGGCCGCAAGGCUAAAACUCAAAGGAAUUGACGG
This 928-nucleotide ribosomal RNA is filed under the name uncultured bacterium. RNAcentral describes it as "bacterial SSU rRNA". It matches the Rfam family "Bacterial small subunit ribosomal RNA", at positions 8 to 916 of the family's 1533-position model. The record is from RNAcentral.